AUCUGGGCGGCGGAAUUCAGGACGGUCGGGCGGGCGUCGCGCUCGUCGGGCCGUUUGAUAUUUCCGUCGCCGUGUCAGACGUCGCGACCUGUUCGUCGUCGGUCCUUGCUCGGAGGAAGCGCGAUCGAGUUCGUUGCGGACGCGUUUCGGCGCGUUCCGCGGCGAAGACGCGACUCUCUGGCUGAUGGCGGACAGUAAGCAACGGUGUCCGGCGUCGUGUCACGCACUCGACGCUCGGUGCCGGUCGGCGACGAUUUCUUCGGGCCUCUUUCCGACCCGUCUUGAAACACGGACCAAGGAGUCUAACAUGCGCGCGAGUCGCGGGGUUUCGAGCGUGCCACGGUGCGCUCGUCACUUCCGAAACCCGUACGUUGAAGGCGUAAUGAAAGUGAACAGGGAAGAUGGCGUUCCGAGUCCACGUACCGUGAUCGAGUAUCGCGGCCGGACGUCCGCACUCCCGGGGCGUCUCAAUGGCUCGCCGCGGAUGCGGACGGUCGUCUCUUCGGGGGCGGCCGUCGGUCUGUGGCGGUCCGA
Molecule: ribosomal RNA, 534 nt
Filed under: Aulacaspis yasumatsui
Lineage: Eukaryota; Metazoa; Arthropoda; Insecta; Hemiptera; Diaspididae
Description: eukaryotic LSU rRNA
Source: RNAcentral